CCAUUGGUGGUGCAGUGGUAGAAUUCUCACCUUCCACGUGGGAGACCUGGGUUCAAUUCCUGGCCAAUGUA
This 71-nucleotide transfer RNA is filed under the name Loxodonta africana (African savanna elephant). It matches the Rfam family "tRNA". From Rfam's summary of the family: Transfer RNA (tRNA) molecules are approximately 80 nucleotides in length. Their secondary structure includes four short double-helical elements and three loops (D, anti-codon, and T loops). Further hydrogen bonds mediate the characteristic L-shaped molecular structure. tRNAs have two regions of fundamental functional importance: the anti-codon, which is responsible for specific mRNA codon recognition, and the 3' end, to which the tRNAs corresponding amino acid is attached (by aminoacyl-tRNA synthetases). tRNAs cope with the degeneracy of the genetic code in two manners: having more than one tRNA (with a specific anti-codon) for a particular amino acid; and 'wobble' base-pairing, i.e. permitting non-standard base-pairing at the 3rd anti-codon position. The record is from Rfam by way of RNAcentral. Lineage: Eukaryota; Metazoa; Chordata; Mammalia; Proboscidea; Elephantidae.